Molecule: long non-coding RNA, 523 nt
Filed under: Capsella grandiflora
Lineage: Eukaryota; Viridiplantae; Streptophyta; Magnoliopsida; Brassicales; Brassicaceae
Description: long non-coding RNA (CGRA_LNC000637)
Source: RNAcentral
UUACCUACUCGUCUCGCCGGACUCUCUACUGGUAAACUUCUUGUUGGUUCGAGUAAUCUCAAGAAUCCAGCUGCUGAGCCAAAGCUUGGUAUCCCUGUGAACACAAAGAUCAUUGAUGAGUUUGAAGGGAUUCAUCUUGAGUGGACUCUUCACUCUGUUGAAACUAAGAAGUAUCUACCCGAGAAACGGUAACCCUAAAACUCUGUUUUCUUCUUUCUUCUUCUCUUAGAUUACAAUCUUGUUUGGUCUGAGUUCUGACAUGUUUGAUGUGUUUAGGUACUUUCAUUUGACAUGUAAGAAAGAGUUUCGAGAGAAGAUUAUGACAGAUUACUUCACUUACUUAGCCAAAUCAGCAGAGAAGAUAAUGAGCCAUCGCGAGAAUCUAAAGAUCUAUACAUAUAACCAAGACCGGUCGAAAUGGGAAUCGGCUAUAUUCGAGCACCAUACAACCUUUGAGACCUUAGCUGUUGAGCCAGAACUUAAGAAGACUUUGAUUGAUGAUCUUGAUUCUUUCUCUAAAGGC